CCAGACUCCUACGGGAGGCAGCAGUGGGGAAUAUUGGACAAUGGGGGGAACCCUGAUCCAGCGACGCCGCGUGAGUGAAGAAGUAUUUCGGUAUGUAAAGCUCUAUCAGCAGGGAAGAAAGAAAUGACGGUACCUGACUAAGAAGCCCCGGCUAACUACGUGCCAGCAGCCGCGGUAAUACGUAGGGGGCAAGCGUUAUUCGGAUUUACUGGGUGUAAAGGGAGCGUAGACGGCAGCGCAAGUCUGGAGUGAAAGCCCGGGGCCCAACCCCGGAACUGCUCUGGAAACUGUGCGGCUAGAGUACUGGAGGGGCAGGCGGAAUUCCUAGUGUAGCGGUGAAAUGCGUAGAUAUUAGGAGGAACACCAGUGGCGAAGGCGGCCUGCUGGACAGUAACUGACGUUGAGGCUCGAAAGCGUGGGGAGCAAACAGGAUUAGAUCCCCGGGUA
This 447-nucleotide ribosomal RNA is filed under the name uncultured bacterium. Its description in RNAcentral is "bacterial SSU rRNA". It matches the Rfam family "Bacterial small subunit ribosomal RNA", at positions 331 to 792 of the family's 1533-position model. The record is from RNAcentral.